UACGUAGGCAGCAAGCGUUGUUCGGAGUUACUGGGCGUAAAGGGUGUGUAGGCGGUUGUUUAAGUUUGGUGUGAAAUCUCCCGGCUCAACUGGGAGGGUGCGCCGAAUACUGAAUGACUAGAGUGCGGGAGAGGAAAGUGGAAUUCCUGGUGUAGCGGUGAAAUGCGUAGAUAUCAGGAGGAACACCGGUGGGGUAGGCGGCGCUCUGGGUCGAGACUGACGCUGAGGCGCGAAAGCGUGGGGAGCGAACGGG
This 253-nucleotide ribosomal RNA is filed under the name uncultured bacterium. Its description in RNAcentral is "partial 16S ribosomal RNA". It matches the Rfam family "Bacterial small subunit ribosomal RNA", at positions 524 to 776 of the family's 1533-position model. The record is from RNAcentral.